RNAcentral lists this ribosomal RNA (433 nucleotides) under uncultured bacterium. Its description in RNAcentral is "partial 16S ribosomal RNA". It matches the Rfam family "Bacterial small subunit ribosomal RNA", at positions 29 to 507 of the family's 1533-position model. The record is from RNAcentral.
AACGAACGCUGGCGGCAUGCCUAACACAUGCAAGUCGAACGAAACCUCCGGGUCUUGUGGCGCACGGGUGCGUAACGCGUGGGAACCUGCCCUUAGGUUCGGAAUAACUCCCCGAAAGGGGUGCUAAUACCGGAUAAGGUCUUCGGACCAAAGAUUUAUCGCCUUUGGUUGGGCCCGCGUUGGAUUAGCUAGUUGGGAGGGUAAAAGCCUACGACGGCGACGAUCCAUAGCUGGGUUGAGAGAAUGAUCAGCCACACUGGGAGUGGGACGCGGCCCAGACUCCUACGCGAGGGAGCAGUGGGUGAUAUUGGAACAUGGGCGGAAGCCUGAUGCAGCAAUGCCGGGUGAGUGCUGAAGGUCUUAGGGUUGUAAAGCUCUUUUACCCGGGAUGAUAAUGACGGUACCGGGAGAAUAAGCUACGGCUAACUACGUG